This is an RNA transcript of Rosa chinensis, 1603 nucleotides long. RefSeq lists it as uncharacterized. Lineage: Eukaryota; Viridiplantae; Streptophyta; Magnoliopsida; Rosales; Rosaceae. The record is from RefSeq and is a predicted model, not a curated record. The transcript is spliced from 5 exons.
AGUAAAUAGGGGCAUAACCGUCAAAGACCAGCGGAAGCACGUAUACCACCCAUUCUGUUUUAGUGUCGAAAGAAUUCUUCAACCGCUAGACGUCUCUAACGGUUGGUUCAGUUGUUUCCCAAAGCAAAUGGCGUCAUCUCUUCUUAUGAAACCAACAGUCAGCAGUAAUAGAGAUGAGGUGUAUGUUGCAGCAGUGCCUCUAAGAGCCGCAAAAGGACCUGCCCAGCUCCUCACCUCUACUGCUUACUCUCUCAAUCUCUGGGAUUUGCAGCACUUCAUGGUCAUCAUUAAGCCCUCCUCACCACCACCACAUUCUCAGGCUUUGGUUUUUGAUUUUCAACCUAAAGAUCCUGAAAACAUAUAUGCAGCACUUGCAGUUCUAUCUGGUAAAGCAAUACCAGGAGUUAUUCUAACAAGGAAGUUAUCGAAGCUUCCAAGAACCAAAUGCUGGUUUGUUGGAUCUUCCAAAGCAGGUGCCAUCGAUAAAGCUAGUGAAUUUAACAAAGUCUGGAAAACUCAUCUAAGGGUUGGCCAUCAUGAUUGUCGAAACUAUACCAAUGCUUCAGGCAAAUGGGAAAUAUUCAACAUUUAUUCAGUUGCUCACAUUCCAAAGGGCAAUGGCAGCAAAGACAGUUCAAUAAUAGCAGGGAUUUAUUUCAAUCAGCAGAAUUGCAAGGAAAGAAGCUUUGACAGAAUUUUAAGGAAACUAGCUUAGAAUUCAUCUUAGUUUGUACUUCACCUGUUAAAAACGGUAUCAACCUGAUCGAGUCUGCCCAGAUGAACAACAGUUUGAAACCAUCUUGGCAGCCCUUCGAAUUCAAGCUCUGUAAAAUUUCCAUUAGUUGGGUCAUAAAGAACUAGAGCCCUACCUUGGUACUCCAACAACAUAUUACAUACUGCCACUCUCCAAAACGUUCAGGAUCCGAAUAAUUACUCCUCUUGCUUUGUCUGCAAUAUUCACUAGGUGACUAGGGACUGUAAUAAGUUCUCUUCACUACCUUGUAUACUUCAAUUAAGGGACCUUCUAUACUUCAGUUAAGGGACUAUAUCCAAAUCCAAAUAUCACGUCUAUGUUGAUUAGGAUACUGGAUGGUCCUGGGCAGGUCUAUAUAAUCCCUAGUGAAUGGAUUAUAUAUGUAUGGUGCAUCAUUGCACACUGCAUCAGCUAAGCAGAGCAAACCAUCAAAUGAGCCUACCAGGCUACCACUUCAAACUCAGGCAUUAAAGCACAAAAAGUGCAGGAUGAGGCCCAUAUUGUUUCCAGCUAUGUUUGAGCUAUGCAAAGUAUCAAGGUGACUGCCUGCUAGUGCACGCCAUGAUCGGCAUACAUACCAGAAUUGCACCAGAGAGGAAAGAGGAAAACUUGAUGAACACCACAUUGUAUAGAACCUAAGUUCAUAUUCAUAUAUGAUUUAGUUUUGAAUUCAAAUAGCACUAGAUUAGUGUAAAUCUAACAGAAGCCUGGAAAGUACGUUGACCAUGAUUUCAGAUGGGAGACUUUGCUGCCAAGUUACUGACUGCUUUCCUCCUUGGUUUCUCCUCCUUCUAGAAUCUGUGUUUCUCUGUAUAUAUAAUGAAGUAGAAUAUAAUUCUAUUUUGUGAA